UAAGGGAUAUUGGUCAAUGGGCGCAAGCCUGAACCAGCCAUGCCGCGUGCAGGAAGACGGCCCUAUGGGUUGUAAACUGCUUUUGUCAGGGAAUAAACCCCCGCUCGUGAGCGGGGCUGAAGGUACCUGAAGAAUAAGCAUCGGCUAACUCCGUGCCAGCAGCCGCGGUAAUACGGAGGAUGCAAGCGUUAUCCAGAUUCAUUGGGUUUAAAGGGUGCGCAGGCGGAUUGGUAAGUCAGGGGUGAAAUCCCACAGCUCAACUGUGGAACUGCCUUUGAUACUGUCAGUCUAGAGUAUAGUUGAAGUGGGCGGAAUGUGUCAUGUAGCGGUGAAAUGCUUAGAUAUGACACAGAACACCGAUCGCGAAGGCAGCUCGCUAAGCUAUAACUGACGCUCAUGCACGAAAGCGUGGGGA
RNAcentral lists this ribosomal RNA (415 nucleotides) under uncultured bacterium. Its description in RNAcentral is "bacterial SSU rRNA". It matches the Rfam family "Bacterial small subunit ribosomal RNA", at positions 355 to 767 of the family's 1533-position model. The record is from RNAcentral.